This 135-nucleotide microRNA precursor is filed under the name Arachis hypogaea (peanut). RNAcentral describes it as "miR156b stem-loop (ahy-MIR156b)". Its record names the gene ahy-MIR156b. The record is from miRBase by way of RNAcentral. Lineage: Eukaryota; Viridiplantae; Streptophyta; Magnoliopsida; Fabales; Fabaceae.
GGAGGCACUAUUGGUAGAGUUGUUGACAGAAGAUAGAGAGCACAAAAGAUGAUAUGCAUAUAGAUAUAUAUAGUCUGCAUUUUAUUCCUUUGUGCUCUCUAAGCUUCUGUCAUCACUCUUCAGCCUCUAUUUCUA